GACUGGGCAGCCCCAUCCCGAGGACAUCCUGCUAUUUGCUGUCCCCAUCUGUGCUCCCUACACAGCCAUGACCAACUACAAGUAUAAAGUCAAGCUCACUCCGGGCACCCAAAAGAAGGGCAAAGCUGCCAAGAUCGCCUUGCACAAUUUUAUGCAGUCCAAAGAAGCCAGUGCAAGAGAGAAAGACCUGUUCCGCAGCGUGAAGGACACCGAUUUGUCAAGGAAUAUUCCUGGUAAGGUGAAAGUGUCUGCACCUCAUCUCCUGAACAGGAAGAAGAAGUGAUUCUAUGCUGGGGGUUCUCACCCCCAAACUGGUGCAGUCAGGACCAGCACCUGGAGCUGGGACAGACGGACACAGACCCACAACUGGUGUUACUGGGACUGAAUUGUUUCCACGGGGCAGGGCAGCAAGGGCCAGGUCCUGCAGCGUGGUUUAGAUGGACUCUGAUACCAAUAGCAUACAAACAUGGAAGUAAAUUGCUGGCAUUUGGUCAGGAAUGUCCUCCC
This is a long non-coding RNA of Chiroxiphia lanceolata (lance-tailed manakin), 507 nucleotides long. RefSeq lists it as uncharacterized. The transcript has 4 exons. The record is from RefSeq and is a predicted model, not a curated record. NCBI's taxonomy places the organism in Eukaryota, Metazoa, Chordata, Aves, Passeriformes, Pipridae.